CUUGAACCCAGGAGGCAGAGCUUGCAGUGAGCCGAGAUCGCGCCACUGCACUCCAGCCUGGGUGACAGAGCGAGACUCCAUCUCAAAAAAAAAAAAACAAAAAAAAAAAAAAAGAGGAAGAAAGGGCAGACUUGAUAGCUUAUCUCAAAAAAGCUACUAAUGAGUAAUAAUUGGCCACUGCCUUAUUUAUUACAAAACAGAAAUGUCUCAUGACUUUUUUAUGUGUACCAUCCUUUAAUAGAUCUCAUACACCAGAAUUCAGAUCAUGAAUGACUGACAGAAUAUUUUGUUGGGCAGUCCUGAUUUAAAACUAAGACUGGCUUGUGGUUAAAUGAAUAUGUUCAGUUUUUGAUUUUAAUAGUAACUCCAAUUCAGUAAAUGCUAUCACUGUUUACCCCUUCUAAAGAUAUGAUUAGACUUCGUUAGUAAUGUUCAACUUUUCACAAAGAUGGUGAGUGCCAUCUUAAAACUUACUGGAGAUUGGUUUUAUAUUUAGAUUUCUAUAACUGGUUAUGUGAAUAUAUUUAAAUACUGGGGAAAUUCCUACACUGUCUUAGAACCAAGCAAGAUUCACCUGUGUUUUGUGUUCAUUUGCCUCUUAAAGGCAAGGGUUGAAGAUAAGUAAGGGAGCAAUGUCUAUAGUUUUGGCCUUAACUAUAACAAUCUAAUUAUAAUUCCCUGUAUUUAAAAUGGUUCCUUUUACUUAUUGAAAGGCAUUUUAGUGUGGUUUAUGUGUAAUAUUAAAGAUUAUUCAACACCUCUCACAUCUUAUAGAUCUAUAAGGUCACAUGCUUUUAAAAUAGUAGCAAGUUAAACUUCACUCUUGAAUUCUUUACAAUCUAAGUCAAACUAGGUUAUAAUUUAGGAUUGUCUUUAAACAGCCAUUCAGAAACAUAAAACUGUAGAACUGUGUAUUUGUGAUUGGGAAUGGUGCUUUUGCCAACUUAAAAGGAUUAAAGUAAUGGAGAUAUACACAAAUUUUAAAAUUAUGUGUGAUUACAAGACUAAAGAUAAUUAAAAAGAAAACCACACA
RNAcentral lists this long non-coding RNA (1033 nucleotides) under Homo sapiens (human). RNAcentral's name for it is "HSALNT0333917". Lineage: Eukaryota; Metazoa; Chordata; Mammalia; Primates; Hominidae. The record is from RNAcentral.